GCACUGGUCAAUUCAAAGUGUACAAAUCUUUCGCCUUUUACUAAAGAUUUCCAUGGAAAGGAACACUUACAAGUUUUGACCCAAUUUUUUGAGGUCACCAAGUCCAGUCU
This 110-nucleotide small nuclear RNA is filed under the name Crocodylus porosus (Australian saltwater crocodile). Its description in RNAcentral is "U5 spliceosomal RNA (ENSCPRG00005017563.1)". It matches the Rfam family "U5 spliceosomal RNA". From Rfam's summary of the family: U5 RNA is a component of both types of known spliceosome. The precise function of this molecule is unknown, though it is known that the 5' loop is required for splice site selection and p220 binding, and that both the 3' stem-loop and the Sm site are important for Sm protein binding and cap methylation. The record is from Rfam by way of RNAcentral. Lineage: Eukaryota; Metazoa; Chordata; Crocodylia; Crocodylidae.